GAUGAAGAACGUAGCGAAAUGCGAUAAGUAAUGUGAAUUGCAGAAUUCAGUGAAUCAUCGAAUCUUUGAACGCACAUUGCGCCCCCUGGUAUUCCGGGGGGCAUGCCUGUUCGAGCGUCAUUUCACCACUCAAGCCUCGCUUGGUAUUGGGCAACGCGGUCCGCCGCGUGCCUCAAAUCGACCGGCUGGGUCUUCUGUCCCCUAAGCGUUGUGGAAACUAUUCGCUAAAGGGUGUUCGGGAGGCUACGCCGUAAAACAACCCCAUUUCUAAGGUUGACCUCGGAUCAGGUAGGGAUACCCGCUGAACUUAAGCAGAUCAAUAAGCGGAGGA
RNAcentral lists this unclassified non-coding RNA (331 nucleotides) under soil metagenome. Its description in RNAcentral is "partial contains 5.8S ribosomal RNA, internal transcribed spacer 2, and large subunit ribosomal RNA". The stretch from base 1 to 120 matches the Rfam family "5.8S ribosomal RNA", at positions 35 to 154 of the family's 154-position model. The record is from RNAcentral.